This is a long non-coding RNA of Anoplopoma fimbria (sablefish), 395 nucleotides long. RefSeq lists it as uncharacterized. The record is from RefSeq and is a predicted model, not a curated record. NCBI's taxonomy places the organism in Eukaryota, Metazoa, Chordata, Actinopteri, Perciformes, Anoplopomatidae. The transcript is spliced from 3 exons.
GGACUACUUAAAAAAACCUUCCGCCAGAGUCACAUGCGGCCCGGGGCCAGCGCGCACAAUGCAAAGACAAUGAUCUGCAGGAAACUUUUCCCAAGGCCACAAGACUUUAGAAGCUGGUCUUAACUACACCACUGUGGAGAGGACCUUUUCAGCGUCAAAACACGAAGAUAAUAGAUAAUAGACUUGUGAAACUGAGGAAGACUACUAACAAGAAGGACGUUUACAACAAAGUCAUUGACAUCUUUGUCCAGAGGGAUAGAUGCAUGGACUUUGUCAACGAAUACCAAAAACCAAGAUGGCGACAACCAAAAUCCUGAACUAAAGGCUCCAAACCCGUUGUCCAGAAACCAGUGGGUGACAUUACUGUGACUAAGGCCACUUCUUAUUCACAGUCA